CCUAUAGCGUAUAUUAAAGUUGUUGCAGUUAUAAAGCUCGUAGUUGAAUUUCGGGGUUAGUAGGUUGGUCAUGCCUCUGGUAUGUACUGGUCUCACUGAUUCCUCCUUCCUGAUGAGCCGUAAUGCCAUUAAUUUGGUGUUGCGGGGAAUUUGGACUGUUACUUUGAAAAAAUUAGAGUGUUUAAAGCAAGCUAACGCUUGAAUACAUUAGCAUGGAAUAAUGAAAUAGGACGUUCGAUCCUAUUUUGUUGGUUUCUAGGAUUGACGUAAUGAUUAAUAGGGAUAGUUGGGGGCAUUAGUAUUCAAUUGUCAGAGGUGAAAUUCUUGGAUUUAUUGAAGACUAACUACUGCGAAAGCAUUUGCCAAGGAUGUUUUCAUUAAUCAAGAACGAAAGUUAGGGGAUCGAAGACGAUCAGAUACCGUCGUAGUCUUAACCAUAAACUAUGCCGACUAGGGAUCGGAUGAUGUCAAUUUUUUAACGACUCAUUCGGCGCCUUACG
Molecule: ribosomal RNA, 500 nt
Filed under: uncultured Glomeromycotina
Lineage: Eukaryota; Fungi; Glomeromycota
Description: SSU rRNA
Rfam family: Eukaryotic small subunit ribosomal RNA
Source: RNAcentral